Molecule: long non-coding RNA, 527 nt
Organism: Alexandromys fortis (reed vole)
Lineage: Eukaryota; Metazoa; Chordata; Mammalia; Rodentia; Cricetidae
Exons: 3
Source: RefSeq, a predicted model, not a curated record
UGAGCUGGGUAUGUGCUGCAGGGGAUCAUUAUCUCGCCGUGAAACUACAUCUGGCUUCUAGGCUGAAAUGAGUUUCUAAAAUCCUGGCCCUCCACCUCUGAACGAAAUUGACCAUUACUCCCAGAGCUGAGCACUCGCCUGGAGCACAGAUGGUCAGGCUGGUGAGGAAUUAAGCGAAAACAAAUUGGGUGGAAACAUUAGAGCAUCAGUCGGAGAGAAAUCUCCGUGGACCGCCAGGGAAAGCCAGGCUCCGGAGCAGGAAGCACACACAUCGGGCAUUGCACUUCGCUUGGUGGCAGGAGGUGGGGACUAGCGGAUGAGCUGCAGUUCAUCUUUCUUUUCUUCCGUCAAUUCCUGACCACCACCGUGGUGACUCAAUGUUUUAAGAUUGCUUAGUGGGACUAUCAAGUUCUUUGUUCAGCUGUGAAAUUUACAUAUUCUUCAUUGCUUUCUCUUACUAUGAGUGCAAGGGUUGAAUUUAAACGUGGGGAGACAUAGACAAGAUGAUGGACCCUUUAUAAAGUGUU